AGAGUUUGAUCCUGGCUCAGAUUGAACGCUGGCGGCAUGCUUUACACAUGCAAGUCGAACGGGGUGGGGGGCAACUUCCACUCAGUGGCGAACGGGUGAGUAAUGCAUCGGAACGUAUCCCGUAGUGGGGGACAACGCCGCGAAAGCGGCGCUAAUACCGCAUAUGCUCUACGGAGGAAAGUGGGGGACCUGAAAGGGCCUCACGCUAUGGGAGCGGCCGAUGUCCGAUUAGCUAGUUGGUGGGGUAAUGGCCCACCAAGGCGACGAUCGGUAGCUGGUCUGAGAGGAUGAUCAGCCACACUGGGACUGAGACACGGCCCAGACUCCUACGGGAGGCAGCAGUGGGGAAUUUUGGACAAUGGGGGCAACCCUGAUCCAGCCAUGCCGCGUGCGGGAAGAAGGCCUUCGGGUUGUAAACCGCUUUUAGUCGGGAAGAAAAGGCCAGGUCGAAUACACCUGGUUCUUGACGGUACCGGCGGAAUAAGCACCGGCUAACUACGUGCCAGCAGCCGCGGUAAUACGUAGGGUGCGAGCGUUAAUCGGAAUUACUGGGCGUAAAGCGUGCGUAGGCGGUUUGUUAAGUCUGUCGUGAAAGCCCCGGGCUCAACCUGGGAAUGGCGGUGGAUACUGGCAGGCUAGAGUACGGUAGAGGAUGGUGGAAUUCCCGGUGUAGCAGUGAAAUGCGUAGAGAUCGGGAGGAACAUCUAUGGCGAAGGCAGCCAUCUGGACCAGUACUGACGCUGAGGCACGAAAGCGUGGGGGAGCAAACAGGAUUAGAUACCCUGGUAGUCCACGCCCUA
RNAcentral lists this ribosomal RNA (800 nucleotides) under uncultured bacterium. RNAcentral describes it as "bacterial SSU rRNA". It matches the Rfam family "Bacterial small subunit ribosomal RNA", at positions 8 to 804 of the family's 1533-position model. The record is from RNAcentral.